CUAUAAAAAGCAUGAAUAAUGCCUUGUUGAGGAGAUUUUUUUUCAGCCAUCCUCAUCUGGCCUAUAAAAGGCAUGAAUAAUGCCUUGUUGAGGAGAUUUUUUUUCAGCCAUCUAAUCUUUUCAAAAUAGGACAUAGUUUAUAGAAUCAUAAUUUGAAUUGCAGAUUCAAAAUUCAAGAUCCGAAAGUUCCGUUUCCAGCCUAAAAUCCAAAAAUAUAUGCCUUAAGUUUAAUUUUAAGUUAUGUGGUUGAUUAUUGGCUUCUCUUAACUCAAAUUCUAAUAGUCGAUGUCCAGAAUGAUUCCUGGUUUGGUUUUGAGUUGAUUUGAGUUCAAAUGUGUCAUCUUAGUGAAUUUUGAUCACUGAAGUAUUCCUGGGUGUUUGAGAGGCUAUUUUGAUUAGAAAAUUGCUUUUGAUGUUGUUGCGUUGAGAGAUCCACUGCUGGAUUUCUGAAACUGCUCUGAAUUGCUGCUAGGUCCUGUUAUUACUGCUGAUUUUUCUCAUUUCCUUUCCUUUCUAAUUCCAGGUACAUACUCGAGAUUGAAUUCAUGUAACUAUUUUAUGAAAUGAAAGUGUUGCUGUUUGACCUUCUGAGAAGCAUCCACUAUCUCAUUGAUUAACUGCACUACCAUUGGUUCUAGGACUUUUGGAAGUUUAUUGUUUCAUCCUAUUUGCAGUAGAGUGAAUGGAUUUGUGAUAAUGUUGAACUGUUUAAGAUCUGAACUGUUAAAUCGAUUUGAAGUCUUGUUACAAACAUGCGAACUCAACAAUCAUCAAUAGUAGCUCAAAUUUGGGUCAGAACUCAUAGUCUGCAUGAUUAAAUGUUAGCAGAAAAUCAAUGACCUCGUAGUAGAAGUUAAACGCGUGAACUGGUUUAGUAAUCUUGACCUUAGCUGGUAGUUACUUUUUAUCACUGUUCAUGUUAAAGUAUAAUUUGGUAUCUGCAUUUGAAUAAAGGUUCUAGAUCUAAUUGGUAUGUGCACUUGAAUUGUUGUUGGCAAAUUAGCAUUAAAUUUCAGGGAACAAGUGCUCACCUCCAUUGAAUUAAUUCAUUGAGUCUAGUAAUUCGUUUGAGUUAAUUAGUAGUUUAGUUUGAUUAUCACCUUUAGAUAAUGCCAUGAUCUCUUAGUCAUCUUGAAUUGAAUAAACGUGCAUAGCCCUUCCUUGUUACAAAUUGUUUAAUGCACUUAACACAAUUUGCAUAAGUUCAGUGCAUAUUUGGUUCAGCGUAGGCGGAAUUCAGGAACAGUUAAAUGCACAGGGGUUUGAAAUGAGGACCUUUUGUGGCUUUUGGCGUGGGCAUGACCUUAAUGUUGGCCGUUUGGGCCUGGGCCACAACCUGCGAAUGGCUGAUUUCAGUUACAUGUCUAUUUACAAAAUAUGCUCUUUGGGCUUCUGUUGGAGCCCAACGCAUUUUAGUUUAACAAUUGAUUAGAUGUGUUAUGCUCAUAAUUUUGAUUAAUUAGGAUUUCUUUUCUUUUUAGAGACAUACAAAAAAUAAAUAGAAAAUCAUAGGUGAUUUAGUUUUCCUUUUAAAAUAAACGAGAUGAGCCUUGCCAAGUAAAACUCAUAA
RNAcentral lists this long non-coding RNA (1570 nucleotides) under Nicotiana benthamiana. RNAcentral describes it as "long non-coding RNA (NBEN_LNC016280)". The record is from RNAcentral. Lineage: Eukaryota; Viridiplantae; Streptophyta; Magnoliopsida; Solanales; Solanaceae.